Molecule: ribosomal RNA, 253 nt
Filed under: uncultured bacterium
Lineage: Bacteria
Description: partial 16S ribosomal RNA
Rfam family: Bacterial small subunit ribosomal RNA
Source: RNAcentral
UACGUAGGGCGCAAGCGUUGUCCGGAAUUAUUGGGCGUAAAGAGCUCGUAGGCGGCCUGUUGCGUCCGCUGUGAAAUCCCGGGGCUUAACCCCGGGCUUGCAGUGGAUACGGGCAGGCUGGAGGCAGGCAGGGGAGAACGGAAUUCCCGGUAUAGCGGUGAAAUGCGCAGAUAUCGGGAGGAACACCGGUGGCGAAGGCGGUUCUCUGGGCCUGUACUGACGCUGAGGAGCGAAAGCGUGGGGAGCGAACAGG